AUUGAACGCUGGCGGCAUGCCUUACACAUGCAAGUCGAACGGCAGCACGGGAGCAAUCCUGGUGGCGAGUGGCGAACGGGUGAGUAAUAUAUCGGAACGUGCCCAGUCGUGGGGGAUAACGCAGCGAAAGCUGUGCUAAUACCGCAUACGAUCUACGGAUGAAAGCGGGGGAUCGCAAGACCUCGCGCGAUUGGAGCGGCCGAUAUCAGAUUAGCUAGUUGGUGAGGUAAAGGCUCACCAAGGCGACGAUCUGUAGCUGGUCUGUGAGGACGACCAGCCACACUGGAACUGAGACACGGUCCAGACCCCUACGGGAGGCAGCAGUGGGGAAUUUUGGACAAUGGGCGCAAGCCUGAUCCAGCAAUGCCGCGUGCAGGAUGAAGGCCUUCGGGUUGUAAACUGCUUUUGUACGGAGCGAAACGGUCUUUCCUAAUACGAGAGGCUAAUGACGGUACCGUAAGAAUAAGCACCGGCUAACUACGUGCCAGCCGCCGCCGUAA
This 500-nucleotide ribosomal RNA is filed under the name uncultured bacterium. RNAcentral's name for it is "partial 16S ribosomal RNA". It matches the Rfam family "Bacterial small subunit ribosomal RNA", at positions 30 to 523 of the family's 1533-position model. The record is from RNAcentral.